RNAcentral lists this unclassified non-coding RNA (346 nucleotides) under soil metagenome. RNAcentral's name for it is "partial contains 5.8S ribosomal RNA, internal transcribed spacer 2, and large subunit ribosomal RNA". The stretch from base 1 to 120 matches the Rfam family "5.8S ribosomal RNA", at positions 35 to 154 of the family's 154-position model. The record is from RNAcentral.
GAUGAAGAACGUAGCGAAAUGCGAUAACUAGUGUGAAUUGCAGAUUUCAGUGAAUCAUCGAGUCUUUGAACGCACAUUGCGCCCCCUGGUAUUCCGGGGGGCAUGCCUGUCCGAGCGUCAUUGCUGCCCUCAAGCACGGCUUGUGUGUUGGGCCCCGUCCUCCGAUCCCGGGGGACGGGCCCGAAAGGCAGCGGCGGCACCGCGUCCGGUCCUCGAGCGUAUGGGGCUUUGUCACCCGCUCUGUAGGCCCGGCCGGCGCUUGCCGAUCAACCCAAAUUUUUAUCCAGGUUGACCUCGGAUCAGGUAGGGAUACCCGCUGAACUUAAGCAUAUCAAUAAGCGGAGGA